RNAcentral lists this ribosomal RNA (429 nucleotides) under uncultured Glomus. RNAcentral describes it as "SSU rRNA". It matches the Rfam family "Eukaryotic small subunit ribosomal RNA", at positions 569 to 1004 of the family's 1831-position model. Lineage: Eukaryota; Fungi; Glomeromycota; Glomeromycetes; Glomerales; Glomeraceae. The record is from RNAcentral.
AGCAGCCGCGGUAAUUCCAGCUCCAAUAGCGUAUAUUAAAGUUGUUGCAGUUAAAAAGCUCGUAGUUGAAUUUCGAGAUCAAAUUGUUGGUCGUGCCUUGGUACGCACUGGCAUUAUUGGUUUCUCCCUUCUGACGAACCAUGAUGUCAUUAAUUUGGUGUCUUGGGGAAUCAGGACUGUUACUUUGAAAAAUUAGAGUGUUUAAAGCAGGCUCACGCUCGAAUACAUUAGCAUGGAAUAAUGAAAUAGGACGUUUGAUUCUAUUUUGUUGGUUUCUAGGAUCGACGUAAUGAUUAAUAGGGAUAGUUGGGGGCAUUAGUAUUCAAUUGUCAGAGGUGAAAUUCUUGGAUUUAUUGAAGACUAACUACUGCGAAAGCAUUUGCCAAGGAUGUUUUCAUUAAUCAAGAACGAAAGUUAGGGGAUCGAAGA